RNAcentral lists this long non-coding RNA (507 nucleotides) under Homo sapiens (human). Its description in RNAcentral is "HSALNT0161691". The record is from RNAcentral. Lineage: Eukaryota; Metazoa; Chordata; Mammalia; Primates; Hominidae.
GCUGUUCCCAGUGUCUCGCCCACCCCCGCGGGGCCCGUCCGACUCGACGGGUGAGCCCGUGGUUCCCGGCUCCGCACCGUCGCCUGCCUCUCUGCAGACCACCCCGGACCCGACCCCUCAGCCACUUCCCCACGCUGCCCCUUUCGCUUCCCCCAUGACGCGGGGCCUAGGACGAGGGUCUGGGCCAAGAGGAACUUCCCCGCAAGAAGUGCCGAGCUAAGGACGCUACUAAGGGGGCGGGAUCGCCACGUGGAGUUUUGUUUUAGGUGCUGUCUCUCCUGUUGUUGUUGUCCUUUACACGAUGGUGUUGCAAGAAAAUGGAUAUGGUGUUGAGGAAGACAUUCCAACAUUACUAAUGGCUGCUAGCAGUAUGGAUGACAUUCUGGCUAUCACUGGAUUCAAUACAUGCUUGAGCAUAGUCUUCUCCUCGGGUAAACAAGAAAAUAUAACAACCACCAGAUCAUUCAUGACCUUUUUUGCUGUGCUAGGUCCUCUGGCUCUAGAAAC